RNAcentral lists this long non-coding RNA (991 nucleotides) under Physcomitrium patens. RNAcentral describes it as "long non-coding RNA (PPAT_LNC002889)". The record is from RNAcentral. Lineage: Eukaryota; Viridiplantae; Streptophyta; Bryopsida; Funariales; Funariaceae.
GUUUCUGUGAAUCACCGGCAAUGCAGAGUGCACCAAACUGCUACUGAAGGGAUUUAAUGUAUCUCUUGUAGCGGGAUGUCAACUGCCUCAAGAAGGCGACCAAGCCGGGUCUUUAGGGUACAAAAACACAAGUGCCGCAGAUGGGAGACCAACAACUGGAUCCUGCUUCUGCUGAUCCCUGAUGGUGCGAAGCGAGCGCCAAUUACCGCUGCAAAUGCCAUAAUACAAUCCUAUGCUGCAUGGUUAUGAUCUCCAGGUGAACUAUUACUAUGUCAUCCAAGGAUUUGAUAGGUUUUGUGGUACAGAAGAAACCGUUCAUGUGAAGCUGUGAGAAUGCUGAGUUUAGUUGAAGCUAAACUUUUAUGAUGAGACUAGGAUUUUAUUCUUCUAGAUUCAGAUGGUGGUGUGUAGCGGUUUGUGUACAGGGGAAUGCUUGAUUCACGCAUGGAUGGAGAAUCUGCACCCAUGUGGGCAUUGGUGCACUGGGUUUCAUUCGAGUUCGACAAGCAGGUUCGGCAAAGAAUGUAGCGUGCCGAAGUAACGGGAGUAGGAUUAUUAGGGUUUUGCAUCAAGCCUGGGAAAUAUGUUAAGUCGCAACUGCAUGCAAUUACUGCGCAAUGAUCAGCAGCAUUCGCAAUAGUGAAGUUUUAUGUGGAUAUCACAAGCAUUGUAGUCGAUGAGAUGGCCAGCACUGCUAUGUUCUGCGAAUUCGAAUGAAAGUCUGCUUGAAAUGUAAACCAAUUUUUUAGUCGGGGGUUUUCUCCGACCCAUGUCGAACCAGGGUGAUCAUCAACUAGUUCAUAGUACCGGCGCUCUGCAAGAGGUUCCAUACACUGCUUGGAACACCAAUGACUCUGAAUAGUUGGUGCAAAUGAUUUUACAUUUUUGCAUUUAUUGAAAAUAAAAUUUUGCUAAUCUUGCAGAGUAAUUUGUCCUCGGUGCAAAGCUUGCGAUUUAGCCAUAGUUCUGAAGCAGUGGAGUGAGUCAAAAC